GACGAACGCUGGCGGCGUGCUUAACACAUGCAAGUCGAACGGUGAAGCUCCAGCUUGCUGGCGUGGAUCAGUGGCGAACGGGUGAGUAACACGUGAGCAACCUGCCCCAGACUCUGGAAUAAGCGCUGGAAACGGCGUCUAAUACUGGAUACGAGAUCAAGCCGCAUGGUUAUGGUCUGGAAAGUUUUUCGGUUUGGGAUGGGCGCGCGGCCUAUCAGCUUGUUGGUGAGGUAAUGGCUCACCAAGGCGACGACGGGUAGCCGGCCUGAGAGGGCGACCGGCCACACUGGGACUGAGACACGGCCCAGACUCCUACGGGAGGCAGCAGUGGGGAAUAUUGCACAAUGGGCGAAAGCCUGAUGCAGCGACGCCGCGUGAGGGAUGACGGCCUUCGGGUUGUAAACCUCUUUCAGCAGGGAAGAAGCGAAAGUGACGGUACCUGCAGAAGAAGCACCGGCUAACUACGUG
Molecule: ribosomal RNA, 468 nt
Filed under: uncultured bacterium
Lineage: Bacteria
Description: partial 16S ribosomal RNA
Rfam family: Bacterial small subunit ribosomal RNA
Source: RNAcentral